This 64-nucleotide transfer RNA is filed under the name Pseudoliva ancilla. Its description in RNAcentral is "Sylvanocochlis ancilla transfer RNA-Val". Lineage: Eukaryota; Metazoa; Mollusca; Gastropoda; Neogastropoda; Pseudolividae. The record is from RNAcentral.
AAAACAUAAUAUAGUAUAAUAUAUUUCAUUUCCACUGAAAAUAUGCUUGUUAAUGAGCUGUUUU